GUUGUAUGGUUAAGUGACUAAGCGUACAUGGUGGAUGCCUUGGCAGUCAGAGGCGAUGAAGGACGUACUAACCUGCGAUAAGCUGUGAGAAGUCGGUAAGAGACGCUAUUACUCACAGAUUUCCGAAUGGGGAAACCCACCCGAGAUAACUCGGGUAUCUGUUACUGAAUACAUAGGUAACAGAGGCGAACCGGGAGAACUGAAACAUCUAAGUACCCCGAGGAAAAGAAAUCAACCGAGAUUCCCUCAGUAGCGGCGAGCGAACGGGGAUUAGCCCUUAAGCAUCUUGGAAGUUAGUGGAACGGUCCUGGAAAGGCCGGCGAUACAGGGUGAUAGCCCCGUACACGAAAACAACCUUGAUGUGAAAUCGAGUAGGGCGGGACACGUGACAUCCUGUCUGAAUAUGGGGGGACCAUCCUCCAAGGCUAAAUACUCCUGACUGACCGAUAGUGAACCAGUACCGUGAGGGAAAGGCGAAAAGAACCCCUGUGAGGGGAGUGAAAUAGAACCUGAAACCGUGUACGUACAAGCAGUGGGAGCCCUUCGGGGUGACUGCGUACCUUUUGUAUAAUGGGUCAGCGACUUACAUUUUGUAGCGAGGUUAACCGUAUAGGGGAGCCGUAGGGAAACCGAGUCUUAACUGGGCGUCUAGUUGCAAGGUGUAGACCCGAAACCGGGUGAUCUAGCCAUGGGCAGGUUGAAGGUUGAGUAACAUCAACUGGAGGACCGAACCCACUAACGUUGCAAAGUUAGGGGAUGACCUGUGGCUGGGGGUGAAAGGCCAAUCAAACUCGGAGAUAGCUGGUUCUCCCCGAAAGCUAUUUAGGUAGCGCCUCGGACGAAUACUACUGGGGGUAGAGCACUGUUUGGGCUAGGGGGUCAUCCCGACUUACCAACCCCAUGCAAACUCCGAAUACCAGUAAGUAAUAUCCGGGAGACACACGGCGGGUGCUAACGUCCGUCGUGAAGAGGGAAACAACCCAGACCGCCGGCUAAGGUCCCAAAGUUCUGGUUAAGUGGGAAACGAUGUGGGAAGGCUCAGACAGCUAGGAUGUUGGCUUAGAAGCAGCCAUCAUUUAAAGAAAGCGUAAUAGCUCACUAGUCGAGUCGGCCUGCGCGGAAGAUGUAACGGGGCUCAAACCAGGCACCGAAGCCGCGGAUUCACACUUAUGUGUGAGUGGUAGGGGAGCGUUCUGUAAGUCUGCGAAGGUGUAUCGAGAGGUAUGCUGGAGAUAUCAGAAGUGCGAAUGCUGACGUAAGUAACGAUAAAGGGGGUGAAAAGCCUCCUCGCCGGAAGACCAAGGGUUCCUGUCCAACGUUAAUCGGGGCAGGGUGAGUCGACCCCUAAGGCGAGGCCGAAAGGCGUAGUCGAUGGGAAGCAGGUUAAUAUUCCUGCACGACUUGUAAUUGCGAUGGGGGGACGGAGAAGGCUAGGUGGGCCAGGCGACGGUUGUCCUGGUGAAAGUGCGUAGGUGGUGUUUCUAGGCAAAUCCGGAGACACAACACUGAGACACGAGACGAACACACUACGGUGUGGAAGCCAUUGAUGCCCUGCUUCCAGGAAAAGCCUCUAAGCUUCAGAUUACAAGUCAUCGUACCCCAAACCGACACAGGUGGUCGGGUAGAGAAUACCAAGGCGCUUGAGAGAACUCGGGUGAAGGAACUAGGCAAAAUAGAACCGUAACUUCGGGAGAAGGUUCGCUCUUGACAGUGAAGUCCCUUGCGGAUGGAGCAGUUGGGAGUCGCAGUGACCAGAUGGCUGGGACUGUUUAUCAAAAACACAGCACUCUGCAAACACGAAAGUGGACGUAUAGGGUGUGACACCUGCCCGGUGCCGGAAGGUUAAUUGAUGGGGUUAGCGCAAGCGAAGCUCUUGAUCGAAGCCCCGGUAAACGGCGGCCGUAACUAUAACGGUCCUAAGGUAGCGAAAUUCCUUGUCGGGUAAGUUCCGACCUGCACGAAUGGUGUAACCAUGGCCAUGCUGUCUCCACCCGAGACUCAGUGAAAUCGAAUUCGCCGUGAAGAUGCGGUGUACCCGCGGCUAGACGGAAAGACCCCGUGAACCUUUACUACAGCUUGGCACUGAACAUUGAACCUACAUGUGUAGGAUAGGUGGGAGGCUUUGAAGGCGUGACGCCAGUUGCGCUGGAGCCGUCCUUGAAAUACCACCCUUGUAUGUUUGAUGUUCUAACGCAGGGCCCUGAAUCGGGCUCGCGGACAGUGCCUGGUGGGUAGUUUGACUGGGGCGGUCUCCUCCCAAAGAGUAACGGAGGAGCACGAAGGUUGGCUAAUCCUGGUCGGACAUCAGGAGGUUAGUGCAAUGGCAUAAGCCAGCUUAACUGCGAGACGGACAGGUCGAGCAGGUACGAAAGUAGGUCAUAGUGAUCCGGUGGUUCUGAAUGGAAGGGCCAUCGCUCAACGGAUAAAAGGUACUCCGGGGAUAACAGGCUGAUACCGCCCAAGAGUUCAUAUCGACGGCGGUGUUUGGCACCUCGAUGUCGGCUCAUCACAUCCUGGGGCUGAAGUCGGUCCCAAGGGUAUGGCUGUUCGCCAUUUAAAGUGGUACGCGAGCUGGGUUCAGAACGUCGUGAGACAGUUCGGUCCCUAUCUGCCGUGGGCGUUGGAUGAUUGAAGGGAGUUGCUCCUAGUACGAGAGGACCGGAGUGAACGAACCUCUGGUGUUCGGGUUGUCACGCCAGUGGCACUGCCCGGUAGCUAAGUUCGGAAUCGAUAACCGCUGAAAGCAUCUAAGCGGGAAGCGAGCCCUGAGAUGAGUCAUCCCUGACCCCUUGAGGGUCCUAAAGGGCCGUUGGAGACCACAACGUUGAUAGGUGGGGUGUGUAAGCGCGGCGACGUGUUGAGCUAACCCAUACUAAUUACCCGUGAGGCUUAACCAUACAACACCCAAGAAGUGUU
RNAcentral lists this ribosomal RNA (2916 nucleotides) under Aeromonas veronii. Its description in RNAcentral is "23S ribosomal RNA". It matches the Rfam family "Bacterial large subunit ribosomal RNA". Lineage: Bacteria; Pseudomonadati; Pseudomonadota; Gammaproteobacteria; Aeromonadales; Aeromonadaceae. The record is from RNAcentral.